This 1744-nucleotide long non-coding RNA is filed under the name Limulus polyphemus (Atlantic horseshoe crab). Its description in RNAcentral is "uncharacterized LOC111085033". The record is from RNAcentral. Lineage: Eukaryota; Metazoa; Arthropoda; Merostomata; Xiphosura; Limulidae.
UGAGACGUUAUAGAUAUUAAUUUGUUGGAUUCCUUAACAUGCAUUGGCUGUAACACAGGAACAGGGGCAUCAGAUUAAAAACAUUUUUGAAUUAUGUAUGAUCAUUGAUAGAUAAGCUCAUGAAUUAUUUCUGUCAUGUUGUAUUGAAGCCAUUCUCUUAGACAGUAGAUAAUUUCCAUUCAAACUGGACACCGAGGAGUUUAAUUUCUGAAAUUUGUUCUGUGUGGAAACAUUCUAAAUCAUUUCAACUAAAAACAUUUGGCACUGAUCUCUUUUAAAGUCCAAUUUAUAUACAUGAUACUUUCACAGGUAUUGAGCUUUAUAAGAAAUGUACUUUACAAACUGAUUUCCAUGUGUGUGUGAUUUUUUUCUUGUUAGGAGAUUGGAGGGAAACCAUUUUUUAAAUGGUUUUAAUAUCUAUUCUCUGACUAUUAGGGUAUUAGAGAAGCAAAUAAUAACAAAAAAUAAACUGUAUCAAUGUAUGCUUCAGUAUUUCUUGAAAACACUAAAACUUCAUUAAUAGUAAUACUAAAAAAAAAGUCAAAAUAAUAAGACAGAGAUUUCCAAACUGGGGGCAUGGGAGGUUGCAGUAUAUUCAAAAAUAGACACUAUUAUAACAAAAAUAAGGAGUUGAUUAUGAAGAGAGAAAAAAAGGCAACAGCAACCUGAUUGAAAAUAAGUUAUUGAAUUUGUAUGUGUUAUGUAGUAGGGGGUCUUCAAUCAGAGUGCCUAUUGUCAUGGAGGGCUUUCACCUGAGCUAAGAAAGUUUUGGAACCCUUGUAGUAGGACACUUUUACAGACAUCAGUAUCGGGUAUUGUGACAUACUGACUGAGUAUUCUCACAGAUGUGUUUCAGGUAUUGUGACACAUCUGUGGCUGAGUAUUCUCACAGACGUGUAUCGGGUAUUGUGACAUACUGACUGAGUAUUCUCACAGAUGUGUUUCAGGUAUUGUGACACAGCUGUGGCUGAGUAUUCUCAGACGUGUAUCGGGUAUUGUGACACAUCCGUGGCUGAGUAUUAUCAAAGACGUGUAUCGGGUAUUGUGACACAUCUGUGGCUGAGUAUUAUCAAAGACGUGUAUCGGGUAUUGUGACACAUCUGUGGCUGAGUAUUAUCAAAGACAUAUAUUGGGUAUUGUGACACAUCUGUGGUUAAGUAUUCUCAGGGACAUGUAUCAGGUAUUGUGACAUAUCUCUGGCAGAGUAUUUUUCAGACAAGUGUUUUUAUCACAGACAAAAUAUUCUAAUUAUAUGUUAUUCAUAGAUCCAAAAUGUUUAUUGUGGUUUAUGAAUAAUGCCUAAAAUGAUGCAAUUGAAAACAACAGUCCAUACAUACACCAGUAAGUGUGCAGGUACGAUAAUUGAAACUUCAGUUUGAGUCUGCUAGCGGAUUUUAUUUGUACAACAGUAGUUGUGUGUUAAACAUUCUUCAAAAACUGUUUGUUAUGUAUGUUGUAGGUAGCUACUGAAGAAUCCAUAAGAUGAAAUAUUUAGAAGUAAACAAAUAUUUAUUUGGAGAAAGAAAUUGUUGGUGUAAUGACUAUGUUAAAUAGGUCUAAAAUGUGUUCAUGUUCACAGACUUGUAUGAAACUGAAGUACAACUGCUUGUUUUUGAUGAUUUUAUACUACUUCAAAUUAUGUAUAUAAACUGAGAAAGAGAAUUGCAGUAGUGAUUAAAGCUAUAUAAAACAUCUCUGGUUUGUGUUAUAUACUUUUCUUUGCAUUUAUUAAAACAUAAUAUAC